This 342-nucleotide ribosomal RNA is filed under the name Ooencyrtus pityocampae. RNAcentral's name for it is "eukaryotic LSU rRNA". It matches the Rfam family "Eukaryotic large subunit ribosomal RNA", at positions 1 to 324 of the family's 3401-position model. The record is from RNAcentral. Lineage: Eukaryota; Metazoa; Arthropoda; Insecta; Hymenoptera; Encyrtidae.
GACGACCUCAGAGCAGGCGAGACUACCCGCUGAAUUUAAGCAUAUUACUAAGCGGAGGAAAAGAAACUAACAAGGAUUUCCUUAGUAGCGGCGAGCGAACAGGAAUUAGCCCAGCACUGAAUCCCGCGGUUCUGCCGUUGGGAAAUGUAGUGUUCGGGAGGGUUCGUUUUAUCCCGCGGCGUCGGACCGCGUCCAAGUCCAUCUUGAAUGGGGCCAUUUACCCGUAGAGGGUGCCAGGCCCGUAGAGACCGGGACGCGCCGUGGGUGAACCUCUCCUUAGAGUCGGGUUGCUUGAGAGUGCAGCUCUAAGUUGGUGGUAAACUCCAUCUAAGGCUAAAUAUG